UUUUCACUGUGCCAAUUGAACAGUCCUC
RNAcentral lists this non-coding RNA (28 nucleotides) under Mus musculus (house mouse). Lineage: Eukaryota; Metazoa; Chordata; Mammalia; Rodentia; Muridae. The record is from RNAcentral.